Bemisia tabaci is the source of this 2038-nucleotide non-coding RNA. The record is from RefSeq and is a predicted model, not a curated record. NCBI's taxonomy places the organism in Eukaryota, Metazoa, Arthropoda, Insecta, Hemiptera, Aleyrodidae.
GGAAUGAUAAAUACAGUUUUUACUAUGCCUUAGAGUUCUUACCAUAAUUCUUACCAUUUGGAGUCAGGAAAUAAAAAUAAUUGCUUCAUUGUUUGCAUUUUUAUUGGCCAACUAAGUUCACAGUGGAACUUUCGUCUACUUGGUGUUAAUGAAGGUAAAUAUUUAUUCUUCUCUUAUUUGGAUGAGAAUUACCUAGGUACAUCAAAUAGGUAUGACAUACUGUGACACUGGGUGCCGCUACUAGGUAUACUCUACUUAUAUUUCAACGAUACUGGAAAAAUUCAUAACUCAGGUAAGGGCGUUAUCUUGCAAGCUACAGAGCUAGUAUUUAGUCAUAUUUCGAUCCUUUGAGAUUCUUUCAUCAUUCAGAAAUAAAAAACUAAAUUCAGCUGGAACAGGCACAUUUCUAGGAAGGAAUGUGACGGAUCAUUUAUAUCUUAUUUAUAUCUCAUCGUCAUCUCACUUAUCAAACAAUGCUUCUCGUCCUCAUCUUGUUCUAAUCUUGUUGAGAGCAGGCGAAGAUUUGAAAUGCGCGCUACAGAUUCGGUAGUCGCCUGGCAAAAGUGGUACCCGCCUGACGUCACAAAACUUCAAGAUGGCAACAAAAAUCAAACUGGGACAAUAAUCAAAGAAAAGGACUGUGGUGGUUACAAAGGAAUACCUAAAUGAUCAUUCAUUUUUUCGAACCCUUAUAAUUUAAAAAAAUUAAUUUGAAGUGAAGUACGUAUUUGGAGACUUUUCACUUUACUGGGAGAACAUCCAAUGCCCAGCAUGAGCAUUGGAAACGUCAUUCGUGAACUCAAAAUGACCGACUUGUUUUUCGUUCGGAUUUCGCCCGUUAGGCGCACUCGAGUGCGAAUGGAAACAAAACAUAGAAUCAGUGAUGCAGGUGUCUCAAACAGUAGUUUCCCUAAAUUUCUUCUCCAUGAAAUAAAUUGCACUUGAAUAAUGGCAAAAUUUUGCGUUGACUGAAUUAAAUUCCAGCCAACAUUGUCCCACUAAGUAAUAAAAUAAAGUUUACUUAAUGCUGAGUCAACGGAACUUUAACUAGAAAAAGUUAUGAAUCAGUAUGUGCUGUCAAGUAUAGUUGGUACUUAGCUUUCUCCCGGCCAAUGUUUUUUCAAAUCAUGACUUUGGAGGUUAUUUAGUCAGUCGGUGAUUCGUGUAGGUACUCUAAUUCAUAUUGUGAGGCGUCCUAUCCAAAGUCAACUGAAUACAUAUAUUGUAGAUUGUUGUUAAAAUACCAAUAAAAAAAAAAAAAAAAAAAAAAAAAAAAAAAAAAAAAAAAAAAAUUCGCAGUACCUACUUAUACGUUAGGUUUCUCAAUUCUCUAUUUCUCUGUUCUGUGCUCUGUGUCUGAUUACUCUCUGGUCUGAUUCGGCGGAUGUACUUGUACUUACCCCAGACUCGUAGGGAUGGUCACGAAAAUUAAUUACUUAAUUCAUUAAAAAAAAAAAUAUGUGAUGUCUGCUAAAAGGCUUCGGAUUGUUCUGUUUGUAGUCGCGUGGAAAUCUGCCGCGUUCAGCGUUCGGAACAUUUAUAUGUUUUCGAUUUUACCUAAAAUGUAACCGUUCAUUGAGCCAGCUAAUCUCUUACGAAUUCGUUGUAUAAUAGUUCGAUAACAAAAAUUAGUGCCACCGUGAAAUUCAUAUCCGUUAUUCGCAGCUCUGCGCCACUUUGAAAUAUGUUUGGUGUCAGUUCCUGUUGGGAGCAGGAGAGUAGAUUCGGUCUGCCGAGUGUGGCAGCACUUGUACGGCCCACCGAGAGGGGCUGUCUCUCGAGAAAGAGGCAAUAGACUACUGAAAUGGCGUCCACCUGAAUCGUCUCGUCUUUUCUUGUCGUCCGUUCUCACCAACUAAACAUGGAACUGAGGCAAAUCCAUUUCAUCUGACUUCAGCGAGCGCCGAUCAACUUCAUUCGCCCCAAGUAAACUGAACAAAUCAUUAAAUAAUUUUUUGUUUUUUUACAUCAAACAGUUGUUUGUUUUCAGUGUCAGUUCCAACAAUUUCUGAAUAUAUUUUGCAGAUAGUUGUCCUUA